This 336-nucleotide unclassified non-coding RNA is filed under the name soil metagenome. RNAcentral describes it as "partial contains 5.8S ribosomal RNA, internal transcribed spacer 2, and large subunit ribosomal RNA". The stretch from base 1 to 120 matches the Rfam family "5.8S ribosomal RNA", at positions 35 to 154 of the family's 154-position model. The record is from RNAcentral.
GAUGAAGAACGUAGCGAAAUGCGAUAAGUAAUGUGAAUUGCAGAAUUCAGUGAAUCAUCGAAUCUUUGAACGCACAUUGCGCCCGGUAGUAUUCUGCCGGGCAUGCCUGUUCGAGCGUCAUUUCAACCAUCAAGCCCCAGCGCUUGUGUUGGGGGCCUGCGGCUGCCGCAGCCCCCUAAAAGCAGUGGCGGGCUCGCUAUCACACCGAGUGCAGUAGUAUUCUUCUCACUCCUGUGGUGUAGCGGGUAACCAGCCGUAAACCCCCCCAUCUAUAAAGGUUGACCUCGGAUCAGGUAGGAAUACCCGCUGAACUUAAGCAUAUCAAUAAGCGGAGGA